This is a long non-coding RNA of Homo sapiens (human), 566 nucleotides long. The record is from Ensembl. NCBI's taxonomy places the organism in Eukaryota, Metazoa, Chordata, Mammalia, Primates, Hominidae.
AGAGAUGGCGAUGAUCCAGGGUUGGUUAAGUCAGCAACUCAAUAACCUCAUCAAAAUCCAGAAUAAUAAUCCCUAUCUAUGUUAGGGAUCUAUACAGCCCAUUGAAUGACCAUGUGGCUUGCUUUGACGACUGGGAUGUAGGCAGAAGUGAUAAUAAGCUAGAAUCCUCAAGGUCAUCUACUAGUUGCAAAAGAGCAGCUGGAUCCUAGUAGAAAAGAUCCAAAGUAGAAAAGUCUGAAAUGAAAACAAUAAGCAAUAUUCAUCAACAGGUAAAUAACCUUUAUCUGAGAAAACAUUCUUCUGGAAUGGCUUGAGAGAUUUCAUGUGGGAUUAUAUAUGCUUCACUUCUGAAGAGGGUCCCAACAUCAGAUGUCCUACCUGGGCUAGCUCAUCUGCAAGCUCCAUGAGUCCUCUCUCGCACCUGCUGCAGUGAUUCUGCAACAAACAGAUCAUUCCCAGUCAGAGCAAUAGAAGGAGAAGGGGUCUUAUUCUGUUGCCCAGGCUGGAGUGCAGUGGUGCAAUCAUAACUCACUGCAGCCUUGAACUCUCAGGCUCAAGUGAUCCUC